GAUGAACGCUAGCUACAGGCUUAACACAUGCAAGUCGAGGGGCAGCGGUAUCGAAAGCUUGCUUUCGGUAGCCGGCGACCGGCGCACGGGUGAGUAACGCGUAUCGAACCUGCCUCAUACUCGGGAAUAGCCUUGCGAAAGUAAGAUUAAUGCCCGGUGUUUUCAGAGUCCCGCAUGAGGCUUUGAACAAAGAUUUAUCGGUAUGAGAUGGCGAUGCGUCCCAUUAGCUUGUUGGCGGGGUAACGGCCCACCAAGGCAUCGAUGGGUAGGGGUUCUGAGAGGAAGGUCCCCCACAUUGGAACUGAGACACGGUCCAAACUCCUACGGGAGGCAGCAGUGAGGAAUAUUGGUCAAUGGGCGGAAGCCUGAACCAGCCAAGUAGCGUGCAGGAAGACGGCCCCCCGGGUUGUAAACUGCUUUUAGUUGGGAAUAAAACGGGGCUCGUGAGCCCCCUUGCAUGUACCAUCAGAAAAAGGACCGGCUAAUUCCGUG
Molecule: ribosomal RNA, 492 nt
Filed under: uncultured bacterium
Lineage: Bacteria
Description: partial 16S ribosomal RNA
Rfam family: Bacterial small subunit ribosomal RNA
Source: RNAcentral